This 1349-nucleotide small RNA is filed under the name Arabidopsis thaliana (thale cress). RNAcentral describes it as "ATSL248730". Lineage: Eukaryota; Viridiplantae; Streptophyta; Magnoliopsida; Brassicales; Brassicaceae. The record is from RNAcentral.
AUUGGCAAAUGUAAGCAUUUGACAGCUUCAGAGAGAAACAGAAAUCACAAACAACAUAAUUGGCAAAUGUAAGCAUUUGACAACACGUGCUUUGCUUAACAUCCCUGACUUCACAUUUCCAGCUCGCCAGCUCACAACACGUGCUUUGCUUAACAUCCCUGACUUCACAUUGCCAGCUCGCCAGCUCACAACACACGUGCUUUGCUUAACAUCCCUGACUUCACAUGUGUGAGCUUGACCUUCUAGAACGCUAUAUCAGGUCGUAGUUUUGAGAGAUAUCUUCGAGCUAUCCCCCUACCUGGCGCGCCAACUGUUGAUGCACGAAUCACACAAGUACGAAAAUGGGAUCUCUAGGGAAGGAAGAAAAAUCUUUCUAUUAAUACGAGCCCGCGACUUAGGCGAAUUGGACGGAUUACAAAGGAUGAUUUCUUCAACGAGCACAGAUGGAGUAAGAACGAGCUGAUUGUAGAUAAAAGGCGAACUUGAGGCCGGAAGACGAUCUUGAUGUCCGAGGAAGAAUAGAGUUUAUUCGUUUUAUAGCUGAACCUUGUAAAAGGCUGCCUACGUACCCUUAGAAAGGGAUCAAGCCACACGUAGUUCAUAUCGCGAUAAACGAACUAGGCCAUUACUGGAGGAAGGUCGUAUGUCGAGUUAGGCAGUUUUAGGGAUGAUCCGGCGGAUAAGUGACGAGUUGAAUGGCUUCUCGAGACGUGCGAGUAGGUUAGUUACUUUGGGCGGGCAAGUCGGCGAGACACUUCGGACGGACGAGUAAACGAGCUACUCAAGAUAGAUGGGCAAACGAGGUACUUCGGACGGGUGAGCUGACGAGCUGCUUGAGACGGGCGAGAUGAUAAGCUACUUGAGACGGGCCGGCUGGCGAGAUACUUCGGACGGGUGAGCUGACGAGCUGCUUGAGACGGGUGAGCUGAUGAGCUACUUGAGACGGACCGGCUGACGAGAUGCUUCAGACGGGUGAGCUGACGAGCUGCUUUAGACGGGCCGGCUGGCGAGAUACUUCAGACGGGUGAGCUGACGAGCUGCUCUUUGUCUCUAAGUGUCCUCGCGGCCUCCCCCUUUGACAAGACAUGCUAUUCCGUAUUUAUAGCCUUCUGCGCGUGUAGGGCAUUCAUCGAGGGAUUUGACGAAACUACCCUUCGCCUUAAUACUCCUUGGUUUGGAACUUAUUUUGGGCUUUUGACCCCUAACAGGAGGAGCUGUACUGGGAAAGGAAAACACUGAAGAAACGAGGUAACACACCACUUGAAGCCAUGGAGGACGUAGGAACUGUGAGAGAAAGAAAUAGAGAAGAGGAAUUAGGAAAAAAACAUGAAAGCGACAGAGUUUAAGAG